ACCACGGAGGGUUUGAUCCUGGCUCAGAACGAACGUUGGCGGCGUGGAUUAGGCAUGCAAGUCGAACGCGAACGUCACCUUCGGGUGGCUAGUAGAGUGGCGAACGGGUGAGUAACACGUGGGAAACCUGCCCUUAGGUUGGGGAUAACACUCCUAACGGGGUGCUAAUACCGAAUAAUACGACCGAGUCGCAUGACUUGGUCAUCAAAGUCGGCCUCUGAAUGAAAGCUGACGCCAGAGGAUGGUCCCGCGUCCCAUUAGCUUGUUGGUGAGGUAACGGCCCACCAAGGCUUCGAUGGAUAGCCGACCUGAGAGGGUGACCGGCCACAUUGGGACUGAGA
RNAcentral lists this ribosomal RNA (341 nucleotides) under Candidatus Eiseniibacteriota bacterium. RNAcentral describes it as "bacterial SSU rRNA". It matches the Rfam family "Bacterial small subunit ribosomal RNA", at positions 1 to 324 of the family's 1533-position model. Lineage: Bacteria; Candidatus Eiseniibacteriota. The record is from RNAcentral.